Molecule: ribosomal RNA, 433 nt
Filed under: uncultured bacterium
Lineage: Bacteria
Description: partial 16S ribosomal RNA
Rfam family: Bacterial small subunit ribosomal RNA
Source: RNAcentral
AACGAACGCUGGCGGCAGGCCUAACACAUGCAAGUCGAGCGAGUACUUCGGUCCUAGCGGCGGACGGGUGAGUAACGCGUGGGAACGUGCCCUUUGCUUCGGAAUAGCCCUGUUAAUCUGGGAGUUAUAUCGGUUGAUCCCUUUUGGGGAAAGAUUUAUCGGCAAAGGAUCGGCCCGCGUUCGAUUAGGUAGUUGGUUGGGUAAUUGCCUACCAAGCCGACGAUGCAUAGAUGGUUUGAGGGGAUGAUAAGCCACACUGGGACUGAGAAGCGGACGAGAAUAGUACGGAAGGGAGGAGAGGGGAAUGUUAGAAAAUGGGGGAAGAACAGAUAAAGAAAGGCCGCGUGAACGAUGAAGGCCUUAGGGAAGUAAAGCGAAUUAAGCUGGGAAGAUAAUGACGGUAACAGGAGAAGAAGCCCCGGCUAACUACGUG